This 482-nucleotide ribosomal RNA is filed under the name uncultured bacterium. RNAcentral's name for it is "partial 16S ribosomal RNA". It matches the Rfam family "Bacterial small subunit ribosomal RNA", at positions 30 to 507 of the family's 1533-position model. The record is from RNAcentral.
AUUGAACGCUGGCGGCAUGCCUUACACAUGCAAAUCGAACGGUAACGGGCCUUCGGGUGCCGACGAGUGGCGAACGGGUGAGUAAUACAUCGGAACGUGCCCGAUCGUGGGGGAUAACGAGGCGAAAGCUUUGCUAAUACCGCAUACGAUCUACGGAUGAAAGCAGGGGACCGCAAGGCCUUGCGCGGACGGAGCGGCCGAUGGCAGAUUAGGUAGUUGGUGGGAUAAAAGCUUACCAAGCCGACGAUCUGUAGCCGGUCUGAGAGGAUGAUCAGCCACACUGGGACUGAGACACGGCCCAGACUCCUACGGGAGGCAGCAGUGGGGAAUUUUGGACAAUGGGCGCAAGCCUGAUCCAGCCAUGCCGCGUGCAGGAUGAAGGCCUUCGGGUUGUAAACUGAUUUUGUACGGAACGAAAAGCCUUCUUUUAAUACAGGAGGGUCAUGACGGUACCGUAAGAAUAAGCACCGGCUAACUACGUG